GUUAAUGUAGCUUAAUCCAAAGCAUGGCACUGAAGAUGCCAAGAUGAGCCCUAGAAAGUUCCAAUAACA
RNAcentral lists this transfer RNA (69 nucleotides) under Gymnothorax hepaticus (liver-colored moray eel). RNAcentral describes it as "tRNA-Phe". It matches the Rfam family "tRNA". From Rfam's summary of the family: Transfer RNA (tRNA) molecules are approximately 80 nucleotides in length. Their secondary structure includes four short double-helical elements and three loops (D, anti-codon, and T loops). The record is from RNAcentral. Lineage: Eukaryota; Metazoa; Chordata; Actinopteri; Anguilliformes; Muraenidae.